UUGAGGAGAAUUUGUGGUUAAAAAGUAAGGAAAAGUUUUGGUUUACGUGUAGAAUAUUUUAUUAUGUGAAUGUGCGAUUACAAACGAAUAUAUAGAAAAAAGAGUUUUUAAAUAAUGGUUAUCAAACAGGGGCUAAAUUCCAGCCCCUGUGUUGUAAAUUUUUGGAUCGUCCUUUGCUUUGAGGUAAACUAUAUCGUUCUUCUUCACCUUGAAGAAGCUAAUAUGGGCUUCUAAUAUUGGUUCUUUGGAAUUGUAGGCAAUUUUGCUUUUCUAGGUUUUAAGUUUAUUCUGCAUUUUGACUUUCCUUUCCUUCCUUGAUGAAUUGAAUUCUUGUAAUUUAACCAUGAGUCUUGGGGACUUAAUAAACAGGCCCAUUUAGAUUUGCAUGUUUAUGGGAUUUAUUUUCUCUUAAAAUCUUGAACUUGAAGUUUUUAUAGAAGCACCUUUAUCCUUAAUGUAACUUUGAUCAGCCUAGUGGAGAAUGUGAUAGAUAUUAUUCGCCCUUGGAUUUCAAAUUAUAAGCAGUGAUUCUGUUUUAUAUCUAGUCUCAAUAGUCUGGUAGUGAUUAUGUUUCUUGAGUCUACUUAUGGCUGAUGGAUAUAACUAUUAUUAGUUGAUGAAUAUUGACUUUCGGAUGAAUUCACCCUUCUUAGUUGAUUUUAUGGUUUGUCUGUACGUGGUAACAUAACAAAGGGCUUGAUGUUUUUAUCGUUAUCUAAAGGUUCUGGGUGGUGUAUGGCUCUAACGAUAUGUGCUUCCUAUGUUAGAGAAAUCAGGGAUUUUAGAUGAAACAAAGGCUUUUGGGAAGUGG
Molecule: long non-coding RNA, 811 nt
Filed under: Olea europaea subsp. europaea
Lineage: Eukaryota; Viridiplantae; Streptophyta; Magnoliopsida; Lamiales; Oleaceae
Source: RNAcentral